This 433-nucleotide ribosomal RNA is filed under the name uncultured bacterium. RNAcentral describes it as "partial 16S ribosomal RNA". It matches the Rfam family "Bacterial small subunit ribosomal RNA", at positions 29 to 507 of the family's 1533-position model. The record is from RNAcentral.
AACGAACGCUGGCGGCAUGCCUAACACAUGCAAGUCGAACGAGACCUUCGGGUCUAGUGGCGCUCGGGUGCGGAACGCGUGGGAACCUGCCCUUAGGUUCGGAAUAACUCCCCGAAAGGGGUGCUAAUACCGGAUAAUGUCUUCGGACCAAAGAUGUGUCGCCUUUGGAUGGGCCCGGGUUGGAUUCGCUAGUUGGUAGUGUAAAAGCCUACCAAGGCGACGAUCCAUAGCUGGUCUGAGAGGAUGAUAAGCCACACUGGCACUGAGACACGGCCCAGACUGCUACGGAAGGCAGCAGUGGGGAAUAUUGGACAAUGGGCGAAGACCUGAUCCAGCAAUGCGGGGUAAGUGAUGAAGGCCUUAGGGUUGUAAAGCUCUUUUACACGGGAUGAUAAUGACAGUACCGGGAGAAUAAGCUCCGGCUAACUCCGUG